Small nuclear RNA from Bison bison bison, 106 nucleotides. The record is from Ensembl. NCBI's taxonomy places the organism in Eukaryota, Metazoa, Chordata, Mammalia, Artiodactyla, Bovidae.
GUGCUUGCUUCAGCCGCACAUACACUAACAUCGGAAUGAGGCAGGGAAGAUUAGCAUGGCCCUGUGCAAGGAUGACACGCAAAUCUGGGAAGCGGUCCAUCUCUGG